AUUGAACGCUGGCGGCAUGCCUUACACAUGCAAGUCGAACGGCAGCGGACCUUCGGGUGCCGGCGAGUGGCGAACGGGUGAGUAAUAUAUCGGAACGUACCUUUCAGUGGGGGAUAACGUAGCGAAAGUUACGCUAAUACCGCAUAUUCUGUGAGCAGGAAAGCAGGGGAUCGCAAGACCUUGCGCUGAUUGAGCGGCCGAUAUCAGAUUAGCUAGUUGGUGAGGUAAAGGCUCACCAAGGCGACGAUCUGUAGCGGGUCUGAGAGGAUGAUCCGCCACACUGGAACUGAGACACGGUCCAGACUCCUACGGGAGGCAGCAGUGGGGAAUUUUGGACAAUGGGCGCAAGCCUGAUCCAGCCAUGCCGCGUGAGUGAAGAAGGCCUUCGGUUGGUAAAGUACGUCUUUCGGUCCGGGUAACGGAAAGUACGCACGGGUUAAG
This 441-nucleotide ribosomal RNA is filed under the name uncultured bacterium. RNAcentral's name for it is "bacterial SSU rRNA". It matches the Rfam family "Bacterial small subunit ribosomal RNA", at positions 30 to 501 of the family's 1533-position model. The record is from RNAcentral.